AAGGGUUUAUGACCAGACUUUUUCUAGGGGGAUCAUCCGGUGUUCUCACCGGUGCACUUCCCCUAGUUGAGGCCAGCAUCGGUUUCCGCCGGGGGAUAAAAGCUUCGGGAAUGUGGCUCCUUCGGGAGUGUUAUAGCCCGCUGCAUAAUACCCUGGCGGGGACCGAGGUUCGCGCAUUCGCAAGGAUGCUGGCGUAAUGGUUAUUAA
Molecule: ribosomal RNA, 207 nt
Filed under: Apiospora yunnana
Lineage: Eukaryota; Fungi; Ascomycota; Sordariomycetes; Amphisphaeriales; Apiosporaceae
Description: Arthrinium yunnanum partial large subunit ribosomal RNA
Source: RNAcentral